UACGAACGCUGGCGGCGGGCUUAACACAUGCAAGUCGAACGGAAAGGCCCUGCUUUUGUGGGGUGCUCGAGUGGCGAACGGGUGAGUAACACGUGAGUAACCUGCCCUUGACUUUGGGAUAACUUCAGGAAACUGGGGCUAAUACCGGAUAGGAGCUCCUGCUGCAUGGUGGGGGUUGGAAAGUUUCGGCGGUUGGGGAUGGACUCGCGGCUUAUCAGCUUGUUGGUGGGGUAGUGGCUUACCAAGGCUUUGACGGGUAGCCGGCCUGAGAGGGUGACCGGCCACAUUGGGACUGAGAUACGGCCCAGACUCCUACGGGAGGCAGCAGUGGGGAAUAUUGCACAAUGGGCGGAAGCCUGAUGCAGCAACGCCGCGUGCGGGAUGACGGCCUUCGGGUUGUAAACCGCUUUCGCCUGUGACGAAGCGUGAGUGACGGUAAUGGGUAAAGAAGCACCGGCUAACUACGUG
Molecule: ribosomal RNA, 468 nt
Filed under: uncultured bacterium
Lineage: Bacteria
Description: partial 16S ribosomal RNA
Rfam family: Bacterial small subunit ribosomal RNA
Source: RNAcentral